Varroa destructor (honeybee mite) is the source of this 674-nucleotide long non-coding RNA. The record is from RefSeq and is a predicted model, not a curated record. Lineage: Eukaryota; Metazoa; Arthropoda; Arachnida; Mesostigmata; Varroidae.
UACAGCAACAAGAAAAGGAAGAGUCGCCAUUAACAGCGAAAUAGCUACUGCAAAAUGAUGAUAAAGCUGUGGUAGCCGUUCUGCAGUUACACUGAUUUAGUAAGCAAAUAAAAUCUUCCAAGAAAAGGUGACAUCGGUCGGCUGGCGGUAAUGUGGCGGAAAAACUUACUCGCCCGUGCCUUUGUGCCUCGAGAGGUUGAUGGCAAAUCAACUCAAUGGUCACUCGUCAAUGACGGUCCCCAUUCCUGCUCUCGAGACGAGGGUUCAUCAGACCUUGACGCGGACUAUUCAUAUAGCUCAAGGGACUGCUAAUGCUACUUUUACGGCUGUGAAGCGGACUGAAGUGACGUGUGUAGAUACCCGGAUAAAUGAAGUCCUGACAUUGCGAGAUUUACUUGAGGUUUGACGACUUCGUCAGAUCCUGUGGGGUUUGUUAACUGUCUGCCGGAGCAGUGAAACACCGGCCUCCCUAGCCCGGUGCUACAGAGCUAUAAUUCAUCGUUCCUGCUCGGAUUGCAGCAUGGGCCAGGGUUUAACCCGGCUAGGUCUGGUCCUUACCGUCUGCUACAGCCAUUUUCAACCUUUGCUAGCACAAACAGAAAGCGAGAACAUCUCGGAAGGCGCAAGCAGGUGCAACGUGCACAGCAUAGAACCAGUAGUUCUGCACCCUUAAA